RNAcentral lists this long non-coding RNA (8765 nucleotides) under Sus scrofa (pig). RNAcentral describes it as "lncRNA (ENSSSCG00000052098.1, ENSSSCG00105025555.1)". Lineage: Eukaryota; Metazoa; Chordata; Mammalia; Artiodactyla; Suidae. The record is from RNAcentral.
UUUCCUUUAAAUUAGGUAAGAUAAAAAGUAUAUAUUCAACAAAAGUUUCAAUAUAGAGAACAUCAUCCUUAAGAACUAUAAGAUUUUAAGUUGAAUAUUUAACCAUAUGAAUAUUUAAACAUAAGUCAUGGUCUUUAGCACUCUAUUAUCAUUUCUUCACAAUUUAUUACAUGAUGUUAACAGUAGCAUAUAAUAUAUACUGAAUGAUUACUAUGAAUAUAUUGAGUAGUUUCACAUAUGCUUUCAUAUUUAUUAUCACAAUUUCCUUAGAACCCAGUACCCCAUGAGUUCAAAUGGCAUCCUAUUAAAAAUGAAAGCUUUGAUUUCAGUGAGCCUUACUCCCAGAUUCUGAAAAAGGACCACUACUUCCUGCAAAAAUGUCACUCAGUGAUAUCUGAGAGUCUGCAGGUGUUAAUUUAUGUGUGCUCACAGACGUGCCUAUACUUGCUCAGUACCAUCAUAUCCAUAGGCAAUGGAUAUACAUUGGAAACUGCUAUUUAUUUCCAGUCACUGCUGGAUAUCCUGUUAUUCCUCCAAACAUCCAGAGACCUCUCAGUGUCUGCUAGUCAUCCUCUAAGUGCCACUGUGUCCUUCUGUUAGAACAGACAUCUAGAGUCAUUGCUGAGCACUGCCAAUGACGCACUGGCACACUUGAGUUGGCAGAGCUGUUCAGGAGGGGCAUGGUGAACUGAAGCAGUGUGCCAAGUGCUUUCCUCUCUUCAUAUCCCAAAACAUCCUAGUAUGUCACCAUGCUUUACAAAAUUUCUAAUGGAAGGGCUGUUUUUGGUUUGGGUUUUUAACUUUAAUCCCCUUACCUUGAUAUUUUUAUCCCAUUAUUCCAUGGACUUCUACAGGGAAAGGAAGGCAGGGUGGGGAAUUUAUAUCACAUAACAAAUCUCAAAAAGGGAUGGUGUAUUUAAUUUAGGAUUGACUAUUCUAAUCGCCAAGGCUUUCUUACUGUAUCAAGUUCAUCUUACCUAUCUCCUACUUCUCUCAGAACUAGCUCUCCUAAAAACCCUCUAAUCUCCUAAGUCAAAAUUUACUUCAUUUUUAAGUAACAGAAAUUUUUAAGUAACAGAAAUCUAAUUCAUUGUUGAGCUGGCAAGUGGGUAGUGAAGAAAAGUUACUGGUUCAGCAAAUUGAAAUUCUAGGAAUGGUUUUGUCUUUAGACACAACUUUCUCCAGGGUCUUCAAUGAUAUCUUUAAGGUGAUCUCUCUUUUCCUCCAUGUCUCUGUUUUUCUUUGUGUUGUCUUUGGUCUCAGAUAGCUCAUUCAUUUUCUUGGUUCCAGAAAAUGUCAUUGGGGUGGAUUCGAUUGCUGCAACUUGAGUAACUGGGCCCACAGCUCAGCAAGCCACUAUGGCCACUGUGAUUGCCAACCCUUGUUACUAACCAGGGAAAGCCAUGUAAUUAACACUCCUAUCAGUUAGGGGGAAGGUACUUUACCAAAAAGAAAAUAAGCUGGACAGUAGCAAUUGUCUGCUAGAGCCCUGCUCUCAAUGGAUACCUGCCGGGCUGCUUAUAUCACAAAUGUGUGUUGCGAGACAUGUUUUUAUAAUAUUUUCUUAGCCUCUUUGCUGAAAACUCCAUCUUGUCCUUCCUUACUUUGUCCCGUCUUCCUGCUUGAGAAACAGUCACAAUGAUGGUAAAUGACUUAGGCUUAAGAACAAAGACCUAAAGGCAUGGGUUAUUUGUGGGGUCAGCUGAAUGAGGACAUAAUACAUUGGUCUAGGUGCACCGGACCUGUGCAGAUCGGCACGCCAUUUGCACAAGCAUGAUAUGUCCUCCAAAGAAUAAGAGAAAGAGGAACCUCAUGACCAAGUGGUUUAUGAGUGGUCGCUAACAGAAUACGCUUUAGAAAAGAGAACCAAGGUGCAAACCUAGACACACACAGGGUUGCCACAAAUAGGCAUGCCCUUUGCAGAAGCACAGUGAGGAUUCUCUGAAAUGCUAUGCAUAGAUAGCUAACUCAAAUGCUAAUGAUUCUUAAAUGCCUAAAGUUUAGAGUAAAAGUUUAACCAUCUACCAGCUAAGUGACUUUUAAAAUAAUAAAAGAACUUAUAAAAUAAUAAAAAAAAACCCCUAUAUCCUGCACCUACGACCCCCUUUUCAUUUGACUGUAAUCCUCAAGAGCACAAUAAAAGCAGUGUGGUUUCUUGAGGCAGGGCUCUUGGUCCCUGUACCUUGAGUCCCCCGGUUCCCACCUUUACUUAAGAUAAAUGUCUCUGUCUUGUUUUUUUUUUCUUUUUUUUUUUUUUUCCUUAAGUUCCAUAGCACCCGUUCUUCAGCCCCAUCCUGCUGAGCUGGUCUCAGCAAAUAUGCCCAGAUAAAUUGGUACCUCAGAAGUGUGAAUGGCAUGGUUUAAAUCCCUCCCUUAGCUCGUGGCAAAGAGUCAGGCUUCAAAAUUGGUCUCAUUGCUCCAAUGCCUAUGUUCAUUUGACCAUGCUCUAUUUUCCUAAUUAUAAUGUGUUUUCACAUUUCAAAAGAGCAUUCCUAGCUGUAAUUAUGCAGGCGCAUCAAGAGAAAAUACAACUUCUGAGGAGUCAGAAAGGCUAAAGUAGAGUUCCUCAAGAUAUGUUCCACAUCACCUGUUUCAAAAUGAUCUGGAGGGUUUAUUACUGUUCAUAUUUGAAGAUCACUUCUGAACUCUUAACUUGAAAUCCUUGGGUUUCUCUGCUGUCUGCUUUGGCUUGUGCUGGUCCAUUGUUAUUGGUAUAGUCCAAAAGGGUGAGCCCUCUGAUGAAACAUUGGCCUCUCUGCUGUAAUGAAAUUUCCCACUGAACUAGAUAUUUGCGUUUUCAUUCAUACCAAUUUACACAAAAGGAACAAAGAGCUAUGUAUUACCAAUGAUUUAGUGAGCCAUUAGUGCAGUGCAAAGUUUUGGGGUACUGCUAAUGCUAUGGCUCAAGUCCCCUAUAUUUGACUCAAAAUUCUAGCCAGGGUUUUUUCAGAAAUAUAUAUCAGAGAUGCUUUAUAUUUGCAUGGAACAAAACAGCACUAUUUUCACCUUGGAGUUAAUGCAACACAGAAGCAGUAGCUUUGCCCUGGCCACCUCUAAACGUCACCAUUUUUAGGAAGCUCCUCGGCUACCACUGUGACGGAAUAUAAGGUUAAAAGCUAAGAGGAAAAAAAAGUUGUUUUUAUUCUUAAGAAAUUUAAGGCCUUCAGUAAUACUUUAAAAUGCCUAUGUUUUUUAGUAUAGGAAAGCUGGCAAGGGCAAAAUGAAGAACAGUCAUACACCCACAAAGGAGUGCUUGCCCACGUUUAUGCACAUUAAGACUUAGCAAUUUGAGGCAGUUAUUACCGACCUUUGUAGUAUACUGGAAUCAUCCAGGGAGGAUUAACAAGCAGUGUUGUCUUUAUCCCAGGACCAGAGAUGCUGAUAUAAUUGGCCUGGGUAUGGUCUUGGUACUCCUCCCCAAGUGAUUCUAAUGUGCAACAAAGGUUAAAACUGACAUAGACUGGGAACUAUUAUAUUGAUUAGUUACAAAUGCCUGCAAAAGUGUUUUAAAGGCCAUUUCUCUUCUUAGCAGAAAUGUGAAGAAACUGUUUAUCAGUAUAGCCAUAGAAAUUGGUAAUGUUUUUCUAGGAGAAAUAAUAGUAAAUAUGAAAACUUAGAGACAAGCCUAAGAUAUCAACUCUCAAAAAUAAUUAGAUUUGGAAUACAGAGGGCUGUAAACAGGGCAGAGUGGAAAAUAAGGGCUUUUGGGUAAAGGAGAAUGAAGGAGUGGAGAACCUUACCACCCAGGAUGGGGAAAUUGAAUUCAACUUGAGAGUCAUUUGAGAGCCACCAUAGGUAUCUUCAAAUGGCAGAUGAAAACCGUGCUUGAAAAUGAAAACGUCACUAAUAGCAACGUGAGGUGGUCAAGCAAUGUAUCUUUAAAAGAAUCAGCUCCAGGGAGUUUUGUUUCCUUCUUUCUCCCUAGCACCUGUUUUUAGCUGCCAUGAUGAAGUAAUUGUAUUUGCAAUAAAGAAACCGCAUGAGGAAUCGUUAAAUUAUCUAAUAUUUGCAUUCUCUAAGUUUGCAUUAUCUGUAGAGCUAAGCCAGACCACAAUUGUUAGUCUUUGGUUAAAGACUGGUAAGAAUGAGUUAGGUUAAGUUGUCUUUGGUUGAGUUUACUGCUUAACCUGCAAGCCAGCAGCACAAAGGAUGCAUGUGAGUAAAUAGGACACCAUAGUGCCUGAGCUGUUCCUCACAGAAGCAAUUAUGCCUGAAGUAGGAAGAUCAUCAGAGCCAGCAUGGAGUGAAGAAUUCAUCAUGUGAGAAGCAUUUACAACCAUGAGCUCAUUGCUUUUUACAUUCUUUUAUUUAGGCUUUUAUGUAUAUCAGUCUUCAAGGAUCCAUUCAAUAUAACAGGACAGUAUUGCAGCAAUACUUGAGUAACAUACUCCCUUACUCUAAUCCUCACUUUGUUGUCAAGGAGGCAGUCAGCCUGAAGACUACCAAUCAUACCUAGCAACUGCAUUACAGGGACCACUGGAUGUGUGAUGGUGCUUGUUCCCGGGGCUGAGGACAUUCAAAUAAGGGCAGGUUCUAUUUAUAAAUUACUGAGUUGUAAGAUGAUCCACUGAGGUAUUUCUACUGUCAAUAUAUUAAACUAAAAAACCCUUGGUUUAGGAUGCCCUUAGACUGCAGUGGCUCUAAUGCCUUUGUAACUUCCGUAAGCAAAUGUAAACCUAAAGCAGAACCAGUGCACUCGAAAAUGCACUGAAAUGUAACUUGAGAACAACUAGUCACUAGGCUUUCUCAAAUAAGGCAACCCCUUAAGCUAUAGCCAACCAAAUAAUUGUUUUGCUUUGCCUUCUUAUCUCCUCUGUAAAAUCUUUGCCCAAGCUCCUGUAUAUGGAGUGUUUUAACCACCUUCAGUUUGGUGCUGCCUAAUUCAAAUUUACAUUUGCUCAAAUAAACACUUCAAACUUUACUGUACCUUAAUUUGCCUUUUAACACGUGUAACAAAUUUGACAGUUGUUGUCAGGCCCAGAAUCAAGGUUUGUAUUUCUCUCUCCCAACAUAUGGGACCAUUUGCCUCCUAUCUGAUGCUUCAAAUUUUAGGACAUAUUUUAUGCGGUCAGAGUUCCUCAAGGUAUGAUCCUUGACCAGCUGUAAGAAAAUCACAUGGGCUUCUUUCCCUCAAAAUGCCAUUAUUUGGUCCUAUCACAGACCUAUUGAAUCAGAAUAUUUGGUGUAUAGAACCUCUGAAGUUUAAUUUGUAUAGGCCAACCAAACACCAGUUUGAAAGGUACUCCUCUAGUACCUGGUGCUUUUAAACCUGGUGCUUCCUAAAGUCAAGAAAUUGGAUGCAGAGCCAGGAGUUGUAAACUGCCAGCUGGCUGACAGAUUGGAUACCAGCAUUUGGAUACCAGUGUCCUUAAGUCUAUCUGCCUGGGUCCAGGUUUCAUAUCCUCACUGGACACAAAUUCCCCCAAUCCUGCUGAUGACUUUUGGUUUCUGUCCAGUAUCAGAGUCAUAAUCUCAGACUCCCGUGUGCUUUGGCUGUCAAUAAUCCCUCUGCUUAAUCCUGAUCCUAAAUCUCUGGGAUUCCUGUGGCCUCCACUAGCACAUUAUGAACUUCAAUAAAUUCUUCCUUCAUGGUCUGGGGUAGGAAAGUUAUGAGCUAUUUUUAGGCAGUGGUGAUUAUGGCCUGACAGUAAUGAGACAGAGAAGAUUAAGAAUAGCCACCAUCUCAAACUAGACAUACCCAUUUGGACAGGGAUAUUCUAGAUGAUAUUCUAAUCUCAAGUGUUAGCUUGGUAGCAAAUCCAAGCCCCCGGGAAAAGAGGUAACCAAAAUGAAAAUACAAGGAUGGUACUCCAGGGGAGAAUUCUUCAUUGGGAGAUUUAAAAUCAGACUGUGCUGUUUUCCUAACCAGUGGCGAUGGCAAUUGAGGAAACAACAGUCAAUGUUGAAAAGUCAAGAUUGACAGAUUUGAGUAUCAUGAAAUCUUAUAAUUAGAUAACAGUGCUCCAAGUAUUGGUCUUUAGUUUAAGGGCAGAAUUUCACCAAGUUGGGGUAAAGGCGGGUUUUUUUUUAUUUUAAUUUUUAUUUUUAAGGAGAGUUUCCAAGUCAGGAACUCACAUACAGGGAACCUCACUUUGGCAUAUGAUGUGGAAACAUAUCUUAGAACCUGCUGGAAGAAAGGAUGGGCUGGAGCCACUUAAAUCUCUCCUGUUUUUAGUUAAGCUGGGCUUCACUGAGGCUGCCUAUCAGAAUUAUCUUUGGAGCAUCUUUGUUGUUGUUACUUUAUUGUUGUUAUAGAUCCAAUAACUAUUUAAUCCGAAUUCCCUGUAUUUUGGCCUGGACAACUGCAUUUUAAAACUGUACAGGCAAUUCAUAUGAACUGUCAGAUUAAGAGCUAUAGUCCUAGGAAUCAGCAUUGGGAUAAAUCUGAUAAGGGUGGUUGGGCAGCAAAGUUGGGGGGGCGGGGGGUGAAAGUGGCAAGUGGAUGGAGCUACUGGUCCAAUCAAAACAGGCUUCGGGCAAAAGUGCUAUGAGGAAAGUUAACCCUUAAGAGGCAUAAGGGUGUUUUCACUUUUCUAGUCCACCUACUUCUUAGGAUUAUAAAGUAUGAGUCAAAAGAGCUCUGCAUUAUAUUCCAAAUUAUAGAAACCACUGCUGUCCCAAGAAGAGGGAGCCUUUUCUGCACCUCUGCCUUUUUUUCCUUCCCAUCAAAUAUAGGUUAUCUUGACACACAGAAGAUUCUAUUUCUAACCUAUGGCCCAUUAGACAUUUAGGUGCAGUAUUCAAAGGAAUUUCCUAGUAUGAGAAAUCUCUGAAACAUCUAAAGAAAGUAAUUUUGGUAAUUUUCUGUCAUUCAAAAAUUGUUAACUGAUCCACUUCUCGGCUCUCAGGUAUAUUAUUUUAGAUAAAGGAAUUUCAGUGGCAGCAUUUCUUUCAUAGCCAUCCAGAAAACCCAUUACAAACAACCACAGGAAGGUGACCAUCAUUUCUCCAAAAGUGAGAGUAAACACAAGGCUUAAUUUGUUCAUGUGCAAAAAACAGUUUAGAUUGAAGGCAGAAUCUAAAGUAAAGAUUUUAUUUCUCUUUGGUCAUUUUGAUCUCCCUGGUUGAAUGAUAUUAACUGAGAUAAGGAAGCAUCAAAACAUAGUGCCUCGUAAUCAGAGUUGAAGGAUUAUAACUUCAUUCAGGAAUUACUGGCUUAAAUCUUCAUGGCUCAAGUAGUAAAGCUUGUACCCCUUAGAUGUUUUCAUCUGGGGUGGCCUGAGCUAAGAGUCAAGCCUGUAGGGACUUAAGAGCCAAAUGGUUAAAAGCAAAGAUGAAUUUGGUAAUUAGGUGCUUGGGAUUCAUAUCUGUCUACUAAGUGAGGAUAAGAAGGCAAAAUCUGUUCUCUUGCUUCUAAGCAAUUGUUCUGUUUCAAAGGUUAGGUCACUUUAUGAUGAUGUUUGUGAGAUACCCAAGAUCAUUAUCACGGUGGAAAAAGACAACCAGUUCUGAAACAGCUUUGAUCAGCAAGUGCAGCCACCGUGGAUCUGGGACUAGAGAGGACAUUACAUCCCUGGCACCACAGUAGCUUAGAAUGAGAGCUCAGAAGUGCUAAUUGGCUCACUGUUUACUGAGAGAUGUGCCCCCUGUUGGAAUCUACACUGGGACUAGUAGAACUCCUGAAUGCAUAGCCUUUUUUUGUUCAGUGUAGGUAGUAAUUCUGAGGAAGAUGAUUUCAGAAUAGGUAUAAAUAUCUAAAGCUGCAAUUCUUUACUAACUUCAAGGAAUCCAGACUGUUUUGUGAUUAAGUUGCAAGUCAGCCAUCUUGUACUAGUACCUUAUUCAGUUACCUCUUUAAGUUACCAGGAAAGACAUCAUUUUUCUUUACUCACCCUUUCCCAAAGCUAAACAGACAAGCCUCCAUAAUAAAUGAUACUUCUCCAGAAAAUAUUAACCUCAAGGUGCAAUAUUUUGUCCUUGGGAAUAGGAAAAAUAUGCACAGGGAAAAAGCAGGUCUAUAACAAGAGAGUCAACUAUCAUUUCAAAUCUGCAAAGUAUCAACUUAGAAUAGAUUUACAAGGAGAUCCUGCUGAGUAGCAUUGAGAACUAUGUCUAGAUACUCAUAUUGCAACAGAACAAAGGGUGGGGGGAAAAAUGUAUACAUGUAAGAAUAACUUGAUCCCCAUGCUGUACAGCGGGAAACAAACAAACAAACAAAAACAAACAAAAAAACCAAAAACAAAAUCAAAUCUGCCAACUAACACUUUCAUCUCUUUUCCUUAUUCCAGAUCGCUGCUGCAUGGAGGCAAGUAUAGAAAAUGAAAAAAGUAAAAUUUUCAUGCUAACUUUGUUUCUAGUAUACCCAGGAAGGGGAAGAUGAUCAGCCCUAGGUCAACCUCUGAUUCAGCUUGGCUCAAUCAGGAUCUCUUCCUUAGGAGUUUGGAAGUCAGGCUGAGAAAAGGAAUGGCUUAACUUGCUAAACCAAAAAGUCAGGAGCUAUGAGUUGUUUACAGCAAAUCAUCCACUGUGGUUCUCUUUUUCUUUUUUUUCUACAGGAAAAAACUGGAAAGCCUAUCUCAUAGGGAAAAACAAAACAAGCAGAUAAGCAUAGAGUGACAUGCUUAUAUUAGUUCAAUUUUGAACUAAUGUAUUUGUAUCUCAUUAAUAUUUUUCUACUAACCAGUAAAAUAAGAACUAUUUUAUUAUAGCAUAUGAUUCUGCUCUUUUGAAUUGUUUUUCCAUAUAAAUAUCUAAUGCCAUAUCACAAAUCCCAACUAAUAAGAUUUUCACCUACUAAUAAAAGAAAUUGUCCCAUUUUUACCAUU